UACGAGGUCGAGCGUACUACGGAUACUGGCGGUAAGCGUGCGCAGGCGGUUUGUUAAGCGAGAUGUGAAAGCCCCCGGGCUCAACCUGGGAAUUGCAUUUCGAACUGGCGAACUAGAGUCUUGUAGAGGGGGGUAGAAUUCCAGGUGUAGCGGUGAAAUGCGUAGAGAUCUGGAGGAAUACCGGUGGCGAAGGCGGCCCCCUGGACAAAGACUGACGCUCAGGCACGAAAGCGUGGGGAGCAAACAGGAUUAGAUACCCGCGUAGU
This 266-nucleotide ribosomal RNA is filed under the name uncultured bacterium. RNAcentral's name for it is "partial 16S ribosomal RNA". It matches the Rfam family "Bacterial small subunit ribosomal RNA", at positions 524 to 794 of the family's 1533-position model. The record is from RNAcentral.